This 483-nucleotide ribosomal RNA is filed under the name uncultured bacterium. Its description in RNAcentral is "partial 16S ribosomal RNA". It matches the Rfam family "Bacterial small subunit ribosomal RNA", at positions 30 to 507 of the family's 1533-position model. The record is from RNAcentral.
AUUGAACGCUGGCGGCAGGCCUAACACAUGCAAGUCGAGCGGAUGAAGGGAGCUUGCUCCUGGAUUCAGCGGCGGACGGGUGAGUAUGCCUAGGAAUCUGCCUGGUAGUGGGGGAUAACGUCCGGAAACGGGCGCUAAUACCGCAUACGUCCUGAGGGAGAAAGUGGGGGAUCUUCGGACCUCACGCUAUCAGCUGAGCCUAGGUCGGAUUAGCUAGUUGGUGGGGUAAAGGCCUACCAAGGCGACGAUCCGUAACUGGUCUGAGAGGAUGAUCAGUCACACUGGAACUGAGACACGGUCCAGACUCCUACGGGAGGCAGCAGUGGGGAAUAUUGGACAAUGGGCGAAAGCCUGAUCCAGCCAUGCCGCGUGUGUGAAGAAGGUCUUCGGAUUGUAAAGCACUUUAAGUUGGGAGGAAGGGCAGUAAGUUAAUACCUUGCUGUUUUGACGUUACCAACAGAAUAAGCACCGGCUAACUUCGUG